UGAGUAACGCGUGAGUAACCUGCCUUCAAGAGGGGGAUAACAUUCUGAAAAGAAUGCUAAUACCGCAUGAUAUAUCGGAACCACAUGGUUCUGAUAUCAAAGAUUUUAUCGCUUGAAGAUGGACUCGCGUCCGAUUAGUUAGUUGGUGAGGUAACGGCUCACCAAGACCGCGAUCGGUAGCCGGACUGAGAGGUUGAACGGCCACAUUGGGACUGAGACACGGCCCAGACUCCUACGGGAGGCAGCAUG
RNAcentral lists this ribosomal RNA (249 nucleotides) under uncultured bacterium. Its description in RNAcentral is "partial 16S ribosomal RNA". It matches the Rfam family "Bacterial small subunit ribosomal RNA", at positions 107 to 353 of the family's 1533-position model. The record is from RNAcentral.